Molecule: ribosomal RNA, 452 nt
Filed under: uncultured bacterium
Lineage: Bacteria
Description: bacterial SSU rRNA
Rfam family: Bacterial small subunit ribosomal RNA
Source: RNAcentral
GACGGGUGAGUAACGCGUGGGCAACCUGCCCCAUACAGGGGGAUAACAGUUAGAAAUGACUGCUAACACCGCAUAAGCGCACAGGGUCGCAUGGCCCGGUGUGAAAAACUCCGGUGGUAUGGGAUGGGCCCGCGUCUGAUUAGUCAGUUGGCGGGGUAACGGCCCACCAAAGCGACGAUCAGUAGCCGACCUGAGAGGGUGACCGGCCACAUUGGGACUGAGACACGGCCCAAACUCCUACGGGAGGCAGCAGUGGGGAAUAUUGCACAAUGGGGGGAACCCUGAUGCAGCGACGCCGCGUGAGCGAAGAAGUAUCUCGGUAUGUAAAGCUCUAUCAGCAGGGAAGAAAAAUGACGGUACCUGACUAAGAAGCCCCGGCUAACUACGUGCCAGCAGCCGCGGUAAUACGUAGGGGGCAAGCGUUAUCCGGAUUUACUGGGUGUAAAGGGAGC